AUUGAACGCUGGCGGCAUGCUUUACACAUGCAAGUCGAACGGUAACAGGCCGUCGGCUGCUGACUAGAGCCGAACGGGGGAGUGAAACAUCUAAAAGUGCGCAGAGGAGGGGGGUAAAGCGGCGGAAGAUGGGCGAAUAUAGCACGUGAGCCGUGGAUGAAAGCGGGGGAGCAAUCAGCAACGUAUGCUAUCGCGCCUCUCUAGCUCGCGAUGUCGGAUUAGUUAGUUGGUGGGGUAAAGGCCUACCAAGCCGACGAUCUGUAGCUGGUCUGAGAGGACGGCCAGCCACACUGGGACUGAGACACGGCCCAGACUCCUACGGGAGGCAGCAGUGGGGAAUUUUGGACAAUGGGCGCAAGCCUGAUCCAGCAAUGCCGCGUGCGGGAAGAAGGCCUUCGGGUUGUAAAGCGCUUUUGUACGGAACGAAAAGGAGCUGGCUAAUACCUUGCUCUGAUGACGUUACCGAAAGAAUAAGCACCGGCUAACUACGUG
RNAcentral lists this ribosomal RNA (492 nucleotides) under uncultured bacterium. RNAcentral's name for it is "partial 16S ribosomal RNA". It matches the Rfam family "Bacterial small subunit ribosomal RNA", at positions 29 to 507 of the family's 1533-position model. The record is from RNAcentral.